UACGUAGGGCGCAAGCGUUGUCCGGAAUUAUUGGGCGUAAAGAGCUCGUAGGCGGUUUGUCGCGUCUGCUGUGAAAACCUAAGGCUCAACCUUGGGCUUGCAGCCGAUACGGGCAGACUAGAAUUCGGUAGGGGAGACUGGAAUUCCUGGUGUAGCGGUGAAAUGCGCAGAUAUCAGGAGGAACACCGGUGGCGAAGGCGGAUCUCUGGGCCGAUACUGACGCUGAGGAGCGAAAGCGUGGGGAGCGAACAGG
RNAcentral lists this ribosomal RNA (253 nucleotides) under uncultured bacterium. Its description in RNAcentral is "partial 16S ribosomal RNA". It matches the Rfam family "Bacterial small subunit ribosomal RNA", at positions 524 to 776 of the family's 1533-position model. The record is from RNAcentral.